RNAcentral lists this unclassified non-coding RNA (2156 nucleotides) under Hevea brasiliensis (rubber tree). The record is from RNAcentral. Lineage: Eukaryota; Viridiplantae; Streptophyta; Magnoliopsida; Malpighiales; Euphorbiaceae.
GGAGAACAAGGAGAAAAUAUUGUGAAAAUGAAAAACUAAACUCCAACGCACAUGGAUAAUGACCUUAAAGCAUAUUUAUAUAAAAGUUUUCAGAAACCAUGCACAAUUCUAGAGCAAGUCUUCUUGAUCCAACGAAACCCUUUCUUUAAAGAACAUUUAACCUUGCCUUCAAUACCAUAAAGUUUAUAUUGGGCAACUCUUUUUUUCCUCUUGGUCUCAGGAGCAUUCCACAAGGAGAUGAUUGUUUGAGACGAGUGUUUAUGGUUAUGGGUCGGCGGAGGUUCCGUUGAAGAAUAAUAAUGUGGCCUGCCGGGAGGAUCAAAGGAGGAACGAGACCGGCCAACGUAGAGUUUGCUCAGUGUUUUUGUGGGAAUGCCAUUGAAGGUCUCGGCACCCAUGUUUGAUCACCUACCCUGCCCCACCUCUUCCUCUCCCUCCCUCUGGGACUCUCUGGUUUGAUUGAGGUGAGGGGAGACUCUGUUUGUUGUUGAAAAGGCCCUUUUAUUGCGGGGAAGUAGAGGUGGAGGAAGCUUAUGUUUUUAGUUUUGGGAGAAGGAAUGUCAAAUUAGGAAAGUUUGGAUUGUGGAAUUCAAUUGCUGUUGGUCAAUGCUGGUCUGUUUCUUUCAUGACAGAUACUCCUUGUGACAGCUACACUUCCUCUGGUUUAAUCCAAAAUCAAAACUGAAUCGGAGCUCCACAUGCCUGUACCAAACUGAAACUAUUUUCUCUCUUCUUUGGAUCGAGCCAAAAUCAGAUUGGUCUGAUUCAAGCCAGCAAAUUUUUCAUAAAAAUUUAAAAAUCUUAAAACUUUGAUCUCACCCUCUGAAGCCUUUCUACUUUUAGGUCCUUUCUUUGGUUUUUUGGGGUUAUCCACGUGAGAAACCUACAUAUAAAUCCAAGGGGAAAUAAAAAAUAUGCAAAAUAUGUGGCACCGAUUAAAUAAAUAAAAGUCCAAUUGUAUGCAAAAGCCCUGAAUCAAAGAUCUGCACACAGCAUAGUUUUGUCAUGCCCAUAUACAUCAGCAGCCAUUAGCAAAAUUUAAUUUGCAAUGAUUAAGUGUUCAUUUAAAUUCUGUGUACUACAUUCCAUCUACCUACAUUAACAACAAGGAUAAGGAUAAGACGGAUUGUAUGAUUUAAUGAUAUGUACCGGAGUAGAGAAGAACAGGGGAUAACUAUGUACCAAAGCAGUUGAAACAGGAGGCCAAGAACUAGUAGUCACGUCCAUAUGCAAGCAAUGCAGCAUAUGAAUUUGCAUGUUAUAUUCCUCAUCUCCCCAGUUCCCCUUUAUAAUUAACGAGAUCCAGUGUAUAAGCUAUAUAAGUUUCUAUUAUACGGUGAGUGACUAACGUCCAUUGUGAUAGUAUUUUCAGCUUUUUGAUGAUUCUGAAGUGCACAACUGCCCCUCAACCAACAACUGUUGCCGGAAUACCUGAAUAUGAACAAAAAUAGCUAUCAAAAAGAGCAAGAAUUUUACAAUCUGAAUUAUAUUGAUUUGCUGAAGAAAGGAUAAUAAUAUUAGUGAGCUGAAAAAUUUUACAAUGUUGAAUUGUGCUAAUUCCUUUUUCAGUUCUCUCUCCAUGUCCUCUCCAACAGGUAAAGCAGUUUUGUUCCCAGCUUGCCUGAAUAUCUUCCAUAAAAACUUUAGGUCAGCACAUGAGAACUUAUGGGACAUACAGCAUUGGAAUGAAAAUUCAUCAUGAAAAAUGGAGAAAGGAAUUUGAUUCUGUUUGACUCUAAGCUCCAUUAAUAACAACUAUAACAGAAGAAGAAAAGAAUAGAAGCCAUGUGAGUUCUUGCAAGCAAUGCACAGUGUUUCUUUUGCCUUUGUUUUGCAGCACAAUAGUUUCAUACCUACCUUGCUUAUUUUACAUUCUGCUAUAAUGUUUCAUUUUGAAUUCUUACCAUUGCUCUCAUCUCUCCUCUCAUGCCUAGAAAUUUAUUUGUUGUAAAAAUCAAUUAAAAAGAUAAAAUUAAUGAAACAAAUAUAUCUGAUACUUCAAAGAUGCAUCUUACCCCCUUUUUGUUUCUCCCCCCUUCCAUUUUUUCUCUUUUGAGUGGACAAGCAUCUAUGCAAUUCCUCAUGAUAUAAAAACUAUAAAAAUGAUGGCCAAUAAUAGUUCCUAUGAAAAGCCAUUGCUAAUAGUAUUUUUGCAA